RNAcentral lists this ribosomal RNA (301 nucleotides) under uncultured bacterium. Its description in RNAcentral is "partial 16S ribosomal RNA". It matches the Rfam family "Bacterial small subunit ribosomal RNA", at positions 509 to 808 of the family's 1533-position model. The record is from RNAcentral.
CAGCCGCCGCGGGAAUACGAAGGGGGCUAGCGUUGCUCGGAAUCACUGGGCGUAAAGGGUGCGUAGGCGGGUUUUUAAGUCAGAGGUGAAAUCCCCGGGCUCAACCUGGACCUGCAUUUGUGACUGUAUAGCUAGAGUACGGUAGAGGGGGAUGGAAUUCCGCGUGUAGCAGUGAAAUGCGUAGAUAUGCGGAGGAACACCGAUGGCGAAGGCAGCCCCCUGGGCCAAUACUGACGCUCAUGCACGAAAGCGUGGGGAGCAAACAGGAUUAGAGACCCCAGUAGUCCCUGUCUCUUAUACA